This 485-nucleotide ribosomal RNA is filed under the name uncultured bacterium. RNAcentral describes it as "partial 16S ribosomal RNA". It matches the Rfam family "Bacterial small subunit ribosomal RNA", at positions 28 to 507 of the family's 1533-position model. The record is from RNAcentral.
AUUGAACGCUGGCGGCAUGCCUUACACAUGCAAGUCGAACGGCAGCGGGCCCUUCGGGGUGCCGGCGAGUGGCGAACGGGUGAGUAAUGCAUCGGAACGUACCCGGGAGAGGGGGAUAACCGGCCGAAAGGCUGGCUAAUACCGCAUGAACUCGGAAGAGCAAAGCGGGGGACCUUCGGGCCUCGCGCUCUCGGAGCGGCCGAUGUCCGAUUAGGCUAGUUGGUGGGGUAAGGGCCCACCAAGGCGACGAUCGGUAGCGGGUCUGAGAGGACGAUCCGCCACACUGGGACUGAGACACGGCCCAGACUCCUACGGGAGGCAGCAGUGGGGAAUCUUGGACAAUGGGCGCAAGCCUGAUCCAGCAAUGCCGCGUGGGUGAAGAAGGCCUUCGGGUUGUAAAGCCCUUUCGGCGGGGAAGAAAUCGGUCAGGCGAAUAGUCUGGCCGGAUGACGGUACCCGCAGAAGAAGCACCGGCUAACUACGUG